AAGAUGCCAACUGAACUGUCCCUCCGGGCUCAGACUCCCCUAAGAGCACUCUGCGGAUUCAUAAUAAAAAGUGCUACCUCCUUAAUUUAGCACGAAGGCUUAAUCAUGCUCCGUGUUGUUUUUAUUUUUUAGCUUACUUGGUACUUCAUCUUCCCUCAAGUACAUAAAGAAAAGCUUCAGUUUCCCACAGUCUCCAUAUCGGGCCUCUUCUUUUUUGCACGGAUUUGUAUCCUGCCCAGCCGGCCUCUUUCUUCAGUCUGAUUUCUUCUUGCUCCUGCUGAAAGUGAUGAUCACACAAGAGCAAUGACGGUAAAGCAACUGGUGCCUCAGCGUGAAUCAAGACACCAAAAUGUCCUGGCAGUCAUUAUACUUGAUGAAGCAGUAGCAAUAAAAGUGUUAAUUCAAUUAAACCUCAAGUCAUGAAUAUACAGCUUUAUGAUAGUCUGUGUGACAAAAUAUUAAUAGAAAGUGUACAUAAAGCACUUCUGAUAUCUGAUGGUUGUCUCCGAGAGGAGGGGGGAACACUUGAGAGGUUGUUUGCAUUAAAAGCUACACCAGCUGUUUUGGGUUUUACUGUUU
This is a long non-coding RNA of Bubalus bubalis (water buffalo), 579 nucleotides long. RefSeq lists it as uncharacterized. Lineage: Eukaryota; Metazoa; Chordata; Mammalia; Artiodactyla; Bovidae. The transcript has 2 exons. The record is from RefSeq and is a predicted model, not a curated record.